GGGAAUAUUGCACAAUGGGCGAAAGCCUGAUGCAGCAACGCCGCGUGAGUGAUGAAGGUCUUCGGAUUGUAAAGCUCUGUCUUUUGGGACGAUAAUGACGGUACCAAAGGAGGAAGCCACGGCUAACUACGUGCCAGCAGCCGCGGUAAUACGUAGGUGGCGAGCGUUGUCCGGAUUUACUGGGCGUAAAGGGUGCGUAGGCGGAUGUUUAAGUGAGAUGUGAAAUACCCGGGCUUAACUUGGGUGCUGCAUUUCAAACUGGAUAUCUAGAGUGCAGGAGAGGAGAAUGGAAUUCCUAGUGUAGCGGUGAAAUGCGUAGAGAUUAGGAAGAACACCAGUGGCGAAGGCGAUUCUCUGGACUGUAACUGACGCUGGGGCACGAAAGCGUGGGUAGCAAACAGGAUUAGAUACCCUGGUAGUCCACGCCGUAAAACGAUGAGUACUAGGUGUAGGAGGUAUCGACCCCUUCUGUGCCGCAGUAAAACACAUUAAGUACUCCGCCUGGGAAGUACGAUCGCAAGAUUAAAAC
This 529-nucleotide ribosomal RNA is filed under the name uncultured bacterium. RNAcentral describes it as "partial 16S ribosomal RNA". It matches the Rfam family "Bacterial small subunit ribosomal RNA", at positions 357 to 900 of the family's 1533-position model. The record is from RNAcentral.